This 851-nucleotide ribosomal RNA is filed under the name uncultured bacterium. RNAcentral describes it as "bacterial SSU rRNA". It matches the Rfam family "Bacterial small subunit ribosomal RNA", at positions 61 to 894 of the family's 1533-position model. The record is from RNAcentral.
GUCGAGCGAAUCUUUCGGAACUUGUUCCGGAAGAUUAGCGGCGGACGGGUGAGUAACACGUGGGCAACCUGCCUGUAAGACUGGGAUAACACCGGGAAACCGGUGCUAAUACCGGAUAAUUCUUUUCCUCUCAUGAGGGAAAGUUGGAAGUCGGUUUCGGCUGACACUUACAGAUGGGCCCGCGGCGCAUUAGCUAGUUGGUGAGGUAACGGCUCACCAAGGCGACGAUGCGUAGCCGACCUGAGAGGGUGAUCGGCCACACUGGGACUGAGACACGGCCCAGACUCCUACGGGAGGCAGCAGUAGGGAAUCUUCCACAAUGGACGAAAGUCUGAUGGAGCAACGCCGCGUGAGCGAUGAAGGCCUUCGGGUCGUAAAGCUCUGUUGUUAGGGAAGAACAAGUACCGGAGUAACUGCCGGUACCUUGACGGUACCUAACCAGAAAGCCACGGCUAACUACGUGCCAGCAGCCGCGGUAAUACGUAGGUGGCAAGCGUUGUCCGGAAUUAUUGGGCGUAAAGCGCGCGCAGGCGGUCCUUUAAGUCUGAUGUGAAAGCCCACGGCUCAACCGUGGAGGGUCAUUGGAAACUGGGGGACUUGAGUGCAGAAGAGGAAAGCGGAAUUCCACGUGUAGCGGUGAAAUGCGUAGAGAUGUGGAGGAACACCAGUGGCGAAGGCGGCUUUCUGGUCUGUAACUGACGCUGAGGCGCGAAAGCGUGGGGAGCAAACAGGAUUAGAUACCCUGGUAGUCCACGCCGUAAACGAUGAGUGCUAAGUGUUAGAGGGUUUCCGCCCUUUAGUGCUGCAGCUAACGCAUUAAGCACUCCGCCUGGGGAGUACGGCCGCAAGGC